RNAcentral lists this ribosomal RNA (897 nucleotides) under Colletotrichum gloeosporioides. RNAcentral's name for it is "LSU rRNA". It matches the Rfam family "Eukaryotic large subunit ribosomal RNA", at positions 36 to 964 of the family's 3401-position model. Lineage: Eukaryota; Fungi; Ascomycota; Sordariomycetes; Glomerellales; Glomerellaceae. The record is from RNAcentral.
UAGCAUAUCAAUAAGCGGAGGAAAAGAAACCAACAGGGAUUGCCUCAGUAACGGCGAGUGAAGCGGCAACAGCUCAAAUUUGAAAUCUGGCCCUAGGCCCGAGUUGUAAUUUGCAGAGGAUGCUUUUGGUGCGGUGCCUUCCAAGUUCCCUAGAACGGGACGCCAGAGAGGGUGAGAGCCCCGUACAGUUGGACACCAAGCCUUUGUAAAGCUCCUUCGACGAGUCGAGUAGUUUGGGAAUGCUGCUCAAAAUGGGAGGUAUAUUUCUUCUAAAGCUAAAUACCGGCCAGAGACCGAUAGCGCACAAGUAGAGUGAUCGAAAGAUGAAAAGCACUUUGAAAAGAGGGUUAAACAGCACGUGAAAUUGUUAAAAGGGAAGCGCUUGUGACCAGACUUGCGUCCGGUGAAUCACCCAGCUCUCGCGGCUGGGGCACUUCGCCGGCUCAGGCCAGCAUCAGCUCGCUGUCGGGGACAAAAGCUUCGGGAACGUAGCUCUCUUCGGGGAGUGUUAUAGCCUGUUGCAUAAUACCCUUCGGCGGGCUGAGGUACGCGCUCCGCAAGGAUGCUGGCAUAAUGGUCAUCAGCGACCCGUCUUGAAACACGGACCAAGGAGUCAACCUUAUGUGCGAGUGUUCGGGUGUCAAACCCCUACGCGUAAUGAAAGUGAACGCAGGUGAGAGCUUCGGCGCAUCAUCGACCGAUCCUGAUGUUCUCGGAUGGAUUUGAGUAAGAGCAUAUAGGGUUGGACCCGAAAGAAGGUGAACUAUGCGUGUAUAGGGUGAAGCCAGAGGAAACUCUGGUGGAGGCUCGCAGCGGUUCUGACGUGCAAAUCGAUCGUCAAAUAUGCGCAUGGGGGCGAAAGACUAAUCGAACCUUCUAGUAGCUGGUUUCCGCCAA